This 492-nucleotide ribosomal RNA is filed under the name uncultured bacterium. RNAcentral describes it as "partial 16S ribosomal RNA". It matches the Rfam family "Bacterial small subunit ribosomal RNA", at positions 29 to 506 of the family's 1533-position model. The record is from RNAcentral.
AGUGAACGCUGGCGGUAGGCCUAACACAUGCAAGUCGAACGGCAGCACAGUAAGAGCUUGCUCUUACGGGUGGCGAGUGGCGGACGGGUGAGGAAUACAUCGGAAUCUACUUUUUCGUGGGGGAUAACGUAGGGAAACUUACGCUAAUACCGCAUACGACCUACGGGUGAAAGCAGGGGAUCUUCGGACCUUGCGCGAUUGAAUGAGCCGAUGUCGGAUUAGCUAGUUGGCGGGGUAAAGGCCCGCCAAGGCGACGAUCCGUAGCUGGUCUGAGAGGAUGGAUCAGCAAAAUUGAACUGAGGCACGGGCCAAGACCCUACGGGAAGGAAGCAGUGGGAAUAUUUGACCAAGGGGGGAAAGCUGGUCCAAGCCUAACGGCGUGGGUGAAGAAGGCUUUCGGGUUGUAAAGCCUUUUUGUUGGAAAAGAAAGGAAGCAGUUUAAUACCCCGCUGUCCGGACGGAACCAAAAGAAUAAGCACCGGUUAAUUCCGU